AGUGAACGCUGGCGGUAGGCCUAACACAUGCCAGUCGAACGGCAGCACAGUAAGAGCUUGCUCUUACGGGUGGCGAGUGGCGGACGGGUGAGGAAUACAUCGGAAUCUACUUUUUCGUGGGGGAUAACGUAGGGAAACUUACGCUAAUACCGCAUACGACCUACGGGUGAAAGCAGGGGAUCUUCGGACCUUGCGCGAUUGAAUUAGCCGAUGUCGGAUUAGCUAGUUGGCGGGGUAAAGGCCCACCAAGGCGACGAUCCGUAGCUGGUCUGAGAGGAUGAUCAGCCACACUGGAACUGAGACACGGUCCAGACUCCUACGGGAGGCAGCAGUGGGGAAUAUUGGACAAUGGGCGCAAGCCUGAUCCAGCCAUACCGCGUGAGUGAAGAAGGCCUUCGGGUUGUAAAGCCCUUUUGUUAGGAAAGAAAAGCAGCAGGUUAAUACCCCGCUGUUCUGACGGUACCCAAAGAAUAAGCACCGGCUAACUUCGUG
RNAcentral lists this ribosomal RNA (492 nucleotides) under uncultured bacterium. RNAcentral's name for it is "partial 16S ribosomal RNA". It matches the Rfam family "Bacterial small subunit ribosomal RNA", at positions 29 to 507 of the family's 1533-position model. The record is from RNAcentral.